This 631-nucleotide ribosomal RNA is filed under the name Azorhizobium sp. Ma89. RNAcentral's name for it is "bacterial SSU rRNA". It matches the Rfam family "Bacterial small subunit ribosomal RNA", at positions 80 to 746 of the family's 1533-position model. Lineage: Bacteria; Pseudomonadati; Pseudomonadota; Alphaproteobacteria; Hyphomicrobiales; Xanthobacteraceae. The record is from RNAcentral.
AGCGCNNGCAUGGGAGCGGCAGANGNGNGAGUAACACGUGGGNNUGUGCCCAAAGGUACGGAAUAGCUCCGGGAAACUGGAAUUAAUACCGUAUGUGCCCUUCGGGGGAAAGAUUUAUNGCCUUUGGAUCAACCCGCGUCUGAUUANCUAGUUGGUGAGGUAAAGGCUCACCAAGGCGACGAUCAGUAGCUGNUCUGAGAGGAUGAUCAGCCACACUGGGACUGAGACACGGCCCAGACUCCUACGGGAGGCAGCAGUGGGGAAUAUUGGACAAUGGGCGCAAGCCUGAUCCAGCCAUGCCGCGUGAGUGAUGAAGGCCUUAGGGUUGUAAAGCUCUUUCGCCGGUGAAGAUAAUGACGGUAACCGGAGAAGAAGCCCCGGCUAACUUCGUGCCAGCAGCCGCGGUAAUACGAAGGGGGCUAGCGUUGCUCGGAAUCACUGGGCGUAAAGCGCACGUAGGCGGGUCGUUAAGUCAGGGGUGAAAUCCUGGAGCUCAACUCCAGAACUGCCCUUGAUACUGGCGAUCUUGAGUUCGAGAGAGGUUGGUGGAACUGCGAGUGUAGAGGUGAAAUUCGUAGAUAUUCGCAAGAACACCAGUGGCGAAGGCGGCCAACUGGCUCGAUACUGACGC